CAGUAGCCGCGGUAAUACGUAGGGUGCAAGCGUUAAUCGGAAUUACUGGGCGUAAAGCGUGCGCAGGCGGUUGUGUAAGUCUGAUGUGAAAGCCCCGGGCUCAACCUGGGAACUGCAUUGGAGACUGCACGGCUAGAGCGCGCCAGAGGGGGGUAGAAUUCCACGUGUAGCAGUGAAAUGCGUAGAUAUGUGGAGGAAUACCGAUGGCGAAGGCAGCCCCCUGGGAUAACACUGACGCUCAUGCACGAAAGCGUGGGGAGCAAACAGGAUUAGAUACCCGUGUAGUCCCUGUCUCUUAUAC
Molecule: ribosomal RNA, 301 nt
Filed under: uncultured bacterium
Lineage: Bacteria
Description: partial 16S ribosomal RNA
Rfam family: Bacterial small subunit ribosomal RNA
Source: RNAcentral